Molecule: small nucleolar RNA, 71 nt
Organism: Bombina bombina (fire-bellied toad)
Lineage: Eukaryota; Metazoa; Chordata; Amphibia; Anura; Bombinatoridae
Source: RefSeq, a predicted model, not a curated record
UUCCUAGGAUGACAACUUUGUCCAGUUCUGCUACUGAAUGAUAAGCGAUGAUAAUGUGGUUGCUGAGGUAG